This 308-nucleotide ribosomal RNA is filed under the name uncultured bacterium. RNAcentral's name for it is "bacterial SSU rRNA". It matches the Rfam family "Bacterial small subunit ribosomal RNA", at positions 28 to 334 of the family's 1533-position model. The record is from RNAcentral.
GACGAACGCUGGCGGCGUGCUUAACACAUGCAAGUCGAACGGAAAGGCCCUGCUUUUGUGGGGUGCUCGAGUGGCGAACGGGUGAGUAACACGUGAGUAACCUGCCCUUGACUUUGGGAUAACUUCAGGAAACUGGGGCUAAUACCGGAUAGGAGCUCCUGCUGCAUGGUGGGGGUUGGAAAGUUUCGGCGGUUGGGGAUGGACUCGCGGCUUAUCAGCUUGUUGGUGGGGUAACGGCCUACCAAGCCGACGAUCAGUAGCCGACCUGAGAGGGUGACCGGCCACAUUGGGACUGAGACACGGCUCAA